This 235-nucleotide ribosomal RNA is filed under the name Escherichia coli. Its description in RNAcentral is "partial 16S ribosomal RNA". It matches the Rfam family "Bacterial small subunit ribosomal RNA", at positions 1 to 232 of the family's 1533-position model. The record is from RNAcentral. RNAcentral also lists the same sequence under 1 other name. Lineage: Bacteria; Pseudomonadati; Pseudomonadota; Gammaproteobacteria; Enterobacterales; Enterobacteriaceae.
AAAUUGAAGAGUUUGAUCAUGGCUCAGAUUGAACGCUGGCGGCAGGCCUAACACAUGCAAGUCGAACGGUAACAGGAAACAGCUUGCUGUUUCGCUGACGAGUGGCGGACGGGUGAGUAAUGUCUGGGAAACUGCCUGAUGGAGGGGGAUAACUACUGGAAACGGUAGCUAAUACCGCAUAAUGUCGCAAGACUAAAGAGGGGGACCUUCGGGCCUCUUGCCAUCGGAUGUGCCC